Molecule: ribosomal RNA, 741 nt
Filed under: uncultured archaeon
Lineage: Archaea
Description: bacterial SSU rRNA
Rfam family: Archaeal small subunit ribosomal RNA
Source: RNAcentral
ACGCAGCAAUGCGUGGCACACGGCUCAGUAACACGUAGUCAACAUGCCCAGGGGACGUGGAUAACCUCGGGAAACUGAGGAUAAACCGCGAUAGGCCAAGGUUUCUGGAAUGGACAAUGGCUGAAACCUAUAUGGCCCCUGGAUUGGACUGCGGCCGAUCAGGCUGUUGGUGAGGUAAUGGCCCACCAAACCUGUAACCGGUACGGGCUCUGAGAGGAGGAGCCCGGAGAUGGGCACUGAGACAAGGGCCCAGGCCCUAUGGGGCGCAGCAGGCGCGAAACCUCUGCAAUAGGCGAAAGCUUGACAGGGUUACUCUGAGUGAUGUCCGUUAAGGGCAUCUUUUGGCACCUCUAAAAAUGGUGCAGAAUAAGGGGUGGGCAAGUCUGGUGUCAGCCGCCGCGGUAAUACCAGCACCCCGAGUGGUCGGGACGAUUAUUGGGCCUAAAGCAUCCGUAGCCGGUUCUGCAAGUCUUCCGUUAAAUCCACCUGCUCAACAGAUGGGCUGCGGAGGAUACUACAGGGCUAGGAGGCGGGAGAGGCAAGCGGUACUCAGUGGGUAGGGGUAAAAUCCUCUGAUCCACUGAAGACCACCAGUGGCGAAGGCGGCUUGCCAGAACGCGCUCGACGGUGAGGGAUGAAAGCUGGGGGAGCAAACCGGAUUAGAUACCCGGGUAGUCCCAGCUGUAAACGAUGCAGACUCGGUGACGGGUUGGCUUUGAGCCAACCCAGUGCCGCAGGGAA